This 138-nucleotide microRNA precursor is filed under the name Paramuricea clavata. Lineage: Eukaryota; Metazoa; Cnidaria; Anthozoa; Malacalcyonacea; Plexauridae. The record is from RNAcentral.
GCUGCACCCCGUGAACAAUAUUGUUAACAAGUUGUUCAACCAUCAGUACUGUUGCAAGUUGUUAACAUGAUUGUCAACAAGUUGCAACAAUGUUGAUGGUUCAACAACUUGUUAACAAUAUUGUUCACGGGGUGCAGC